RNAcentral lists this transfer RNA (384 nucleotides) under Potamolinea sp. 33PC. RNAcentral describes it as "partial 16S-23S ribosomal RNA intergenic spacer". The stretch from base 121 to 194 matches the Rfam family "tRNA". Lineage: Bacteria; Bacillati; Cyanobacteriota; Cyanophyceae; Coleofasciculales; Wilmottiaceae. The record is from RNAcentral.
UAGGGAGACCUACUUCGAUAAGUACCAAGAACCAAUGGUUCUGGUCAAAUCAGAAGACAUCCCAAGGUCGUGCGAGAUUGAGUGUAAAAAAGCUUUCAAACUAGAUUUGGUUCGGUAUAUGGGCUAUUAGCUCAGGUGGUUAGAGCGCACCCCUGAUAAGGGUGAGGUCCCUGGUUCGAGUCCAGGAUGGCCCACCUACCGGGACAACUUCAGCACCUAGACUUGUUUUGGCAAAAAACAAGUGAGAAUGCUGGGGUAAGACUCCAGUAAUGAACCUUGAAAACUGCAUAGUAAAGAGAAAGAACAAGCAGGUAGAACAGUUGAGCGAGACUACUCAAGAGUAGUGAAGCACAGCAGUUUAUCGAAGCAGAAAUAGCGCAAUGU